AUGACCCAACUUUAUACUAACUUUAGUAUAAAGUUGGGUCAUCUAUCUCAUUUUGGAACGGAGGGAGUAUCUGGGAGGGAGAAGCGUCUGUAUGGCUGCAUGCUUAAUCCUAUGAAGGUCAAAAAGUCCUUUAUCCUUGAGACUGCCUUCUGGAAAGAACAAGAUCAUCGAGAAGUGACCACGCACACUCUCAUCCCUACAGACAUACUCAACAAGGGUGCUCUUCCCUACUCUUCUUGGACCAAUGAUUGGAAGUACAGCCAAGUCUGGCAUAACAUUGGGACACAACAAGAAUUUCAGGACCCAUUCCCGUUCAGUUUGGCGACCAAACAUGCAAUUGUCCAAGAGCAAAUAUGUGCCGUAAGGUUGGCGAAGGAUUCGAGGAUACAAUUCCAAGAAGAAAAGAAACUCCUUCAUACCGGCCACGGUGUCUUCAAGGGUAUCAACCAUCUGUUGCAGCUCUUCUCGCAUGUUGUUGUUUGUGCUGAACAACAGUGCUUCUCUGUUGCUGCUGCCACUGCCGGUCCGAGAGAAACGGAGCCGUUUGGCUGGACUGAAUUUAGAGAGCGCAGAUGA
RNAcentral lists this ribosomal RNA (576 nucleotides) under Triticum aestivum (bread wheat). Its description in RNAcentral is "partial small subunit ribosomal RNA". Lineage: Eukaryota; Viridiplantae; Streptophyta; Magnoliopsida; Poales; Poaceae. The record is from RNAcentral.